This 246-nucleotide unclassified non-coding RNA is filed under the name uncultured fungus. Its description in RNAcentral is "sequence contains ITS1, 5.8S rRNA gene". The stretch from base 198 to 246 matches the Rfam family "5.8S ribosomal RNA", at positions 1 to 49 of the family's 154-position model. Lineage: Eukaryota; Fungi. The record is from RNAcentral.
UCUCCGUUGGUGAACCAGCGGAGGGAUCAUUAAAGAGUCGUAAAAAACUCCCAAACCCAUGUGAACUUACCUCUGUUGCCUCGGUGGGCCGCGCGGCAAGAGCUACCCUGUAGCAGGCGCCUCCCGCGGGCCACCGACGGAACUCCAAACUCUUGUUAACCAGUGUCAUCUCUGAGUACAACUUUUAAAUAAGUCAAAACUUUCAACAACGGAUCUCUUGGUUCUGGCAUCGAUGAAGAACGCAGC